UGGGGAAUAUUGGGCAAUGGGGGAAACCCUGACCCAGCAACGCCGCGGGAAGGAAGAAGGCUUUCGGGUUGUAAACUUCUUUGACGAGGGACGAAAGAAAUGACGGUACCUCGAAAACAAGCUACGGCUAACUACGUGCCAGCAGCCGCGGUAAUACGUAGGUGGCAAGCGUUGUCCGGAUUUACUGGGUGUAAAGGGCGCGUAGGUGGGUAAAUAAGUCAGAUGUGAAAUACCGGGGCUUAACUUCGGGGCUGCAUUUGAAACUAUUUAUCUUGAGUAUCGGAGAGGCAGGCGGAAUUCCUAGUGUAGCGGUGAAAUGCGUAGAUAUUAGGAGGAACACCAGUGGCGAAGGCGGCCUGCUGGACGACAACUGACACUGAGGCGCGAAAGCGUGGGGAGCAAACAGG
RNAcentral lists this ribosomal RNA (407 nucleotides) under uncultured prokaryote. Its description in RNAcentral is "bacterial SSU rRNA". It matches the Rfam family "Bacterial small subunit ribosomal RNA", at positions 355 to 776 of the family's 1533-position model. The record is from RNAcentral. RNAcentral also lists the same sequence under 1 other name.